Non-coding RNA from Myotis lucifugus (little brown bat), 76 nucleotides. The record is from Rfam. NCBI's taxonomy places the organism in Eukaryota, Metazoa, Chordata, Mammalia, Chiroptera, Vespertilionidae.
GAGACACCCUUCUGGGGCAAGACUUGCUUCAGUGGGGCUUUGGUGCUCACUGAGUCUGCCCCCUUAGUGUGUCCCU